This 373-nucleotide ribosomal RNA is filed under the name uncultured organism. RNAcentral describes it as "partial 16S ribosomal RNA". It matches the Rfam family "Bacterial small subunit ribosomal RNA", at positions 527 to 896 of the family's 1533-position model. The record is from RNAcentral.
GUAGGUGGCAAGCGUUGUCCGGAAUUAUUGGGCGUAAAGCGCGCGCAGGCGGUUCUUUAAGUCUGAUGUGAAAGCCCACGGCUCAACCGUGGAGGGUCAUUGGAAACUGGAGAACUUGAGUACAGAAGAGGAAAGCGGAAUUCCACGUGUAGCGGUGAAAUGCGUAGAGAUGUGGGGGAACACCAGUGGCGAAGGCGGCUUUCUGGUCUGUAACUGACGCUGAGGCGCGAAAGCGUGGGGAGCAAACAGGGAUUAGAUACCCUGGUAGUCCACGCCGUAAACGAUGAGUGCUAAGUGUUAGGGGGUUUCCGCCCCCUUAGUGCUGCAGCUAACGCAUUAAGCACUCCGCCUGGGGAGUACGACCGCAAGGUUG